RNAcentral lists this ribosomal RNA (551 nucleotides) under fungal sp. TZ-2013. Its description in RNAcentral is "eukaryotic LSU rRNA". The stretch from base 197 to 350 matches the Rfam family "5.8S ribosomal RNA". Lineage: Eukaryota; Fungi. The record is from RNAcentral.
UUCCGUAGGUGAACCUGCGGAGGGAUCAUUACAGAGUUGCAAAACUCCCAAACCAUCGUGAACGUUACCUACAUCGUUGCUUCGGCGGGUGGCGGGCUUCGGCCCUGCCCUCGGCCCCUCUCGGGGGCCCGCCGGAGGUACACCAAACUCUUGAAUUUACAUGGCCUCUCUGAGUCUUCUGUACUGAAUAAGUCAAAACUUUCAACAACGGAUCUCUUGGUUCUGGCAUCGAUGAAGAACGCAGCGAAAUGCGAUAAGUAAUGUGAAUUGCAGAAUUCAGUGAAUCAUCGAAUCUUUGAACGCACAUUGCGCCCGCCAGUAUUCUGGCGGGCAUGCCUGUCCGAGCGUCAUUUCAACCAUCAAGCCCCCGGCUUGUGUUGGGGACCUGCGGCACACCCGCAGGCCCUGAAAACCAGUGGCGGGCUCGCUGUCCACACCGAGCGUAGUAGCAUAUCUUUGUCUCGCUCAGGGCGUGCGGCGGGUUCCGGCCGUGAAACCCACCUUCUCGAAGGUACCCAAAGGUGACCUCGGAUCAGUAGAGACCCGAUUCC